UCCGGCUACUAUACUUUUAUGAGUAUUGGCUCUCUUAUACUCAUAAGUUUUUAGCCUUUAGAUUUAUUCCAUUGAUCAUUUCCACCCGUUAGAUCAUACUAUUAAACCAACUACCCACUCAACCCUAUGGGACCACUAUCAUUCUAAGUGGGGACCACCUGUUGGCUUAAAUGGGCCAGCAUCCUGCCCUGUGGCGGGAGGCCAUGUGGGCCGAGUUAUGUUCGAAAUGGCGUGAGGCUGGGUUGGGCCGAGUCAUGUUCGAAGUGGCGUGAGGCCAGGUGGGCCGAGUCACAAUCGAGACACGUGGGCGCUGUUUCUGUACGCUUUAAGUGAAUUGGUUGCGUAUUUCUAACAGCUCGAGCUUUUGGGAUUAAUGGUUAGUGCCAACGAUCCGACAAGUGGUAUCAGAGCCAGAGGUCACGGGUUCGAUUCUUGCAUGCUGCAAAUGUGUGCAGGUACUGGAGGGGAGAUUGUUGGCUUAAAUGGGCCAGCAUCCUGCCCUGUGGCGGGAGGCCAUGUGGGCCGAGUUAUGUUCAAAAUAGCGUGAGGCUGGGUUGGGCCGAGUCAUGUUCGAAGUGGCGUGAGGCCAGGUGGGCCGAGUCACAAUCGAGACACGUGGGCGCUGUUUCUAUACGCUUUAAGUGAAUUGGUUGCGUAUUUCUAACAGCUCGAGCUUUUGGGAUUAAUGGUUAGCGCCAACGAUCCGACACCACCAUCAUCUUAAUCAUACAUCCCAUCAAUCAACGGUUAAAAAUUUAUGAGUAUAAGGAGGUCUAUACUCAUAAGAGUAUAGUAGCCCCAGCCUAUAUAUAUAUAUAUAUAUAUGGGGGAUAAUUGUCUAUAUACCCUUCAAAACUUCGAAAAUAUCUCAUUUACUCCUACUUUUUUUUUUAUUUCCAAUAUACCCCUCAUAUGUUCCUCCGUUAUUCCAAAAUACCAUUGUAGUUACCACUCGUUAAGUUAACUUGGAUUAAACGUGAGUUAAAUAUCUACUACAGUUAAAAAAAAUUAAAAUACCACUUUUGCCCUUAAUUUAAAGGCAAAUAAGAAAUGUUGGUGAUGAUAGAAGAGUAUAUUUAAAAAGACCAAAAAGCAAAAUACUUUUUGUGCCGCUAACUUAAGGGCAAAAACGAAAAGUCGGUGAUGGUAGAAGGAUAUAUAUGAAAGGGCAAAAUAGUAAUUUCAUAGAGAUAACAGAUUUCAUUAACAGAUUUUAACUCUAAGGUAUAUUAGAAAUAGGUAGGAAUGUAAAAAAGACAUUUUCAAUAGUAGCCUUCUAAGAGGGGUAAAUUAGAAAGUCGGAAACUUUUCAGGAGUAUAUAAGCAAUUACCUCUCUCUCUCUCUCCCUCUCUCUCUCUCUCUCUAUAUAUAUAUAGUCCCGCUACUAUACUAUCGAUAGUACCAAGCCCUUGGUACUAUUGAGUUUUCUACCGUUAGAUCUACCGUUUGAUCAUUUUCACUCGUUAGAUUAUACUAUUAAACCAACCACCCACUCAACCCUAGGGAACCACUAUCAUCCUAACCGCACAUCCUUUCAUCCAACGGCCGAAACCUCAAUAGUACCAAGGGCUUGAUACUAUUGAUAGUAUAAUAGCAUAAUUCUAU
This 1606-nucleotide long non-coding RNA is filed under the name Ananas comosus (pineapple). RNAcentral's name for it is "long non-coding RNA (ACOM_LNC022113)". The record is from RNAcentral. Lineage: Eukaryota; Viridiplantae; Streptophyta; Magnoliopsida; Poales; Bromeliaceae.